UACGGAGGGUGCGAGCGUUGUCCGGAAUCACUGGGCGUAAAGGGCGCGUAGGUGGCUUAGCAAGCGUGUGGUGAAAGCCCGGGGCUUAACCCCGGGUCUGCCAUGCGAACUACUAUGGCUAGAGUACUGUAGAGGCAGGUUGAAUUCCGGGUGUAGCGGUGGAAUGCGUAGAGAUCCGGAAGAAUACCGGUGGCGAAGGCGGCCUGCUGGGCAGUUACUGACACUGAGGCGCGACAGCGUGGGGAGCAAACAGG
RNAcentral lists this ribosomal RNA (254 nucleotides) under uncultured bacterium. RNAcentral's name for it is "partial 16S ribosomal RNA". It matches the Rfam family "Bacterial small subunit ribosomal RNA", at positions 524 to 776 of the family's 1533-position model. The record is from RNAcentral.